This 360-nucleotide long non-coding RNA is filed under the name Ananas comosus (pineapple). RNAcentral describes it as "long non-coding RNA (ACOM_LNC001243)". Lineage: Eukaryota; Viridiplantae; Streptophyta; Magnoliopsida; Poales; Bromeliaceae. The record is from RNAcentral.
GAGCUAGCAUCACUCAUAUGUUAAUUAAUGGCUAAAUUACAGUUGCGGUUCUCAAAUUAUGAGUGGUGUGACACUUGAAUCCUCAAACUAUAAUUUAUAUUAGGUUUUGGCUAAAACUUUCUAAGAUGUUGUAAUUAAAAUUUUACAUUCCAAUUCAGUUGACUAUAUAAUGGUGUAUUGCUGAUAUAAUAGUGAUUUGAUAGUUCAUCAACCGCAUCAUCACUAUAUUAAUAUCACAUUAUCAACACGUCACUAUUUAGUAAAAUAAAUUAUACUGCGAGAUUUAAUUACAACAAUUUAAAAGUUCAAGUCAGAAAUUAUUAUAAUUUAAAAUUUGAGUAUUAAAGUGUCUCCUAACUC